CCCAUCAAAAGCAUAUGAUUCACUAUAAAUAUAGAUAGACAUGUACGAGUGGUUUCAUACUUUCAAUUACCUUGUAAGAUGAAGGCCUUUGCUAAUGUUCUGAUCGUUUUCCUAGUUUUCUCCAUUGGCAUUGGAAAUGAAAGGCUAAUGAAAGUAACAGAGGCAGCCUCAAAUCAGUGUACACAGACACUCCCCAGUUUACGUAUAAGUGUAUUUGGUAACGAGUGCGACGAUAUUUGCAAAAAACGCUAUGGAAGCCUAGCAAGUGGAUCUUGCAAUAAUCACUUAUGUGUUUGUCAGUACCCACCUCCAUGUCACAAUUUGUAGUCCUAUCUUUACAACAUUUUCCCUUUGAAUAAGUAAUGCUCCAAUCAUGGAAAAUGAAAAGGUUAAUAUAUAUAAAUUGAUGAUGAUGUUUCUAUGAAUAUCAAUUUUAUUUACUAUCUUUCUUUUUUC
This is a long non-coding RNA of Arachis duranensis, 456 nucleotides long. RefSeq lists it as uncharacterized. The transcript is spliced from 2 exons. The record is from RefSeq and is a predicted model, not a curated record. Lineage: Eukaryota; Viridiplantae; Streptophyta; Magnoliopsida; Fabales; Fabaceae.